UGGGGAAUUUUGGACAAUGGGCGCAAGCCUGAUCCAGCCAUGCCGCGUGCGGGAAGACGGCCUUCGGGUUGUAAACCGCUUUUGUCAGGGAAGAAAUCCUUUGAGCUAAUACCUCUUGGGGAUGACGUUACCUGAAGAAUAAGCACCGGCUAACUACGUGCCAGCAGCCGCGGUAAUACGUAGGGUGCAAGCGUUAAUCGGAAUUACUGGGCGUAAAGCGUGCGCAGGCGGUUAUGCAAGACAGAUGGGAAAUCCCCGGGCUCAACCUGGGAACUGCAUUUGUGACGGCAGAGCUGGAGUGCGGCAGAGGGGGAUGGAAUUCCGGGUGUAGCAGUGAAAGGCGUAGAUAUGCGGAGGAAAACCGAUGGCGAAGGAAAUCCCCUGGGCCUGCACUGAAGCUAAGGCACGAAAGAGUGGGGAGCAAACA
Molecule: ribosomal RNA, 427 nt
Filed under: uncultured bacterium
Lineage: Bacteria
Description: bacterial SSU rRNA
Rfam family: Bacterial small subunit ribosomal RNA
Source: RNAcentral